GGGGAGGACGAGUCGCGGUAGCGGGGGAGCCGGGGGCAGACAGACCCAGCAGAGGCAGCAGGAGGAGGAGGAGGACUCAGCCCAGCCGGGGGCUGCAGAGGAGCUCGCUGUGAGCCCGAGGGAGCCGGGGCAGAGCGGCUGAAGCGGCCUCGCUGCAGAGAGACGGGGCGGCGGAGGGAGAGGCCGGGCCGGCUCCCCUCCCUGCGCUGGGCUCUCCUAGGGGAGGAGGGCGGGUGGCUGCUUGUUCCGGCCUCCUUCUGUCUCUUUAACCCCCCAAAAUGAUUCAGCUCCAUGGCUGCCACUGACGGGAAUGUCCCUGCCCGGCUCAGGCUGCCGCCGCCGCCCUGCUGCGUGCCAGCCCUGUACGUAUCUGCCUGCGCCUUGCUGCUCCUAGGCGCCCCAGCCGGCCGAGCCCCCGACACCCCCUCGCCGCCCCUCCGCACCCAGCCGCCAGAGGCGGCGGCGGCCGCUCCCCCGGGGCCCCGCGGCGGGGAGGUCCGCUCUGCCGACAGCCACCCCCCUACAGCUACACACAGCUCGGGUGGGAGGGGGGCGGGCGGCUGCUUUCUGAGUUGGCCGGAUAACGUGGGUAAUUUCUUCCCUAGCACCCCGCCCCCCGGAGAAGAGGGCCGGAGGGGGAGUGGAGAGCGGAGGGGAAAGUGACCGGCAAAGGACUGAAAGUGUCACAUUCACUGGCUCUGAUCUGAAGGCGGCGGAGGGACCCGGCCUCACCCGCCCCCCCCAGCCCCGGAGAGGAGGAGGAAAAGGGGCGGUUUAGUGGCAGUGCCGGCUGUGCCGAGCCGUCUCAGCCUGUGCUGUGUGAGCCAGCGGGGAGGGGAGGGGGUUAUAUGUGUGUGUGUGUGUGUAGUGCCUCUCCCUUGGGUUGCAUGCAAAGCUAACUGUGUGGCUGUCUCUCUCCGGGCCGGAGAACUGCACUCUUAAAAUAAACCCGGUACAAUGCACCAGCCUGACUCAGCCGCAGACAUUAGUCCUAGGAAGAUGGCGCACCCGGCAAUGUUUCCUAGAAGGGGCAGCGGCGGCAGCUGCGUUACUGCGCUUAAUGCAUCAGGUACCGGCGCUGGUAGCGGAGCCCUCUCCACCGAGGAUUAUCCGCCGCCUCUGCUCAUCCAGCCGCCUCCUCCGUCUCUUGCAGCAUCUUCAUCGGCGGGUCCACAGCCGCCACCCCCUCCUCCACAAAGCCUGAAUCUCCUCGCCCAGUCUCAGCUCCAGCCACAGCCUCUUGCACAGAAAAAGAAAAGUGGCUUCCAAAUUACCAGCGUGACCCCUGCUCAGAUCUCUGCCAGUAUGAGCUCAAACAACAGCAUAGCAGAGGACACAGAAAGCUACGAUGACCUGGAUGAGUCUCACACUGAAGACCUGUCUUCUUCAGAAAUUUUGGAUGUUUCUUUAUCCAGGGCCACUGACUUGGGUGAACCUGAACGAAGCUCCUCCGAAGAGACUUUAAAUAACUUCCAAGAGGCUGAGACCCCUGGGGCCGUCUCUCCAAACCAGCCUCAUCUUCCUCAGCAGCAUCCCCCUUUGCCACAUCACCCACAGCAGAGUGUUGUGAUCAAUGGAAAUGUUCACCCUCAUCAUGGUCACCAUCACCACCACCUUCAUCAUCACCAUCAUGGGUAUCAUCAUCCAUCACAUCCUGGGGUGGGCAGUACACCAGCUUCUGGAGGACCACCCUCAAGUCCGUCAUUUAGAAAGCUGUCCACAGCUGGAAGCUCUGACAAUGUUAUCACAACUGCACCAGUUUCUGCUGCAUCAUCCACUGGUACUCCUGCAUCUGCCCUGACUAAUAUUCGCACUACAAGUACUCCUGGCAAUAUAGGUGUAAGUCCUGUUACUGGAACUAGUAUGUUAAGUAAUGUGGUUGGUGGUAGUCCUAGCAUGACAAGCAGCAUGCUUGGUAAUGUUAAUAUAAACUUAAGCAACGUCACAAGUACUACUAAUGUACAUGCUUUAUCUGGAACCAGCAGCAAUGUUAAUGUGAAUAUCUUGAGUGGUGUUGGCAAUGGUACGAGUGCUUCCUCUAAUGUCAUUAAUAAUGUUACUAAUCCAACUGCAGGAAUGGCAGUGGGAUCAAGUCAGCAGCAGCCUGCAGCUGGCACAUCAAGGUUUAGAGUUGUAAAAUUAGACUCCAGUUCUGAACCUUUUAAAAAAGGUAGAUGGAUAUGCACUGAAUUCUAUGAUAAAGAAAACGCUGUAGCAGUUACAGAAGGAGUAGCAGUAAACAAAGCGGUAGAGACUAUAAAACAAAAUCCACUUGAAGUGACUUCUGAAAGGGAGAGCACCAGUGGGAGUUCUGUUAGCAGCAAUGUAAGCACACUGAGUCACUACACAGAAAGUGUGGGAAGCGGGGAAAUGGGAGCACCUACUGUGAUACAACAGCAGACAUUUCAAGGUAUGGGUCCACAGCAGAUGGAUUUUAGUUGUGCUGGACCUCAGACUAUUCCAGCAUCCAAUAUACCGCAGAGUAUUUCUCAGUCACAGCUUGCACAAGUACAGUUGCCUUCUCAAGAAGUAAAUUAUCCACAGCAAAAGCAAGGAGUCCAGUCUUCAGCACAGGCUAGUUUAACAACUGUUGCUGGUGUUCAGCCAACUCCAGUUAAUGUAGUAGGUGUAUCAUCUUUAGGUCACCAACAACCUGCUAUUCCAAGUGUGGCUCAGCAGCAGCUCUCAUAUUCUCAACCCUCACGUCCUGUGCAAACUUUGCCUGUUGUACCACAACAGCAGUUACAGUAUGGACAACAGACACUUUCCAUGCAGAUGGCCCCUGCACGAGUUAAACCAGUGAAUCAGAGUUCUGUGACAGGGACCAUACCGGACUACAUACAACAUCAGCAGAUACUUCAACCUCCAGUGCCUGCUGUGCAAUCCAGCUCUACAGGAGUAGGAGCAGGAACACCGGUUCCUGUUGUUCAGACACCAAGCAUCCAACCUUCUGUACAAGUACAUCCUGCUGUGGCACCAGCUCAGCCUGUUGCACAUGCUCAGACAGCAAUGCCACCUGUAGGUACUAGUGGUCAAAUUAUUAACAUUGGACAACAAGGAAAUGUACCUGCUGUGGUGCAGCAGCCACCUGUUGCAAACCAAAUUACACCUUCAGUUAUGCAGCAAAGUGCUGCUCCUCCAUCUUCACAAGUGGUGCAGCCUGUUCAGACUGGGAUAAUUCAGCAGGGACUACAAGCUGGUGCUUCAGGCCUUCCUCCACAAAUGGUAAUUGCUUCACAAAAUGCUUUGUUACCUGUACAACCCCAGGCACAAGUAGAAACUGUAGUUCAAGGAAUGACCAGCCAACCAUUGCCUGCAGUUAGCCCUAUACCUUCUACUAGUACUGUUCCUGCUCCAAGUCAAGCUAGUUCAAAUGUACCUCCUGAUAUAUCUUCUGCUCCUGUAAGUUUGGGUCCAUCACAGAACGUAGCACAAGCUUCAGCUGUGCAAAAUGGGAAUUUGGUUCAAAGUGUUAGUCAGCCUCCCUUGAUAUCAACUAGUUUAAGUAUGCCAGUGGCACAAAAUGUGCCACAACAGAUACCGCUAAACUCUACUCAGUUCUCUGCACAAUCACUAACUCAGUCAAUUGUAAGCCAAAUUGAAGAUGGCAGGCGCCCUACAGAACCUUCCUUAGUUGGUUUACCGCAAGCUGCCAGUGGUGAAAGUGGUGUUGGAGCAUCAGCUGUUUCAGAUGGGAGUGGCAGCAACAUAACAUCCUCUGCUUCCCUGUUUCCACUGAAAGUACUGCCAUUGACAACCCAUCUUGUUGAUGGUGAGGAUGAGAGAAAUGACUUCUUCAGAGGCAGCAGCGAACAUUUUUCAAGGAAAUUUCUGGCACCCUUUUCCUUAGAGACUGAAAGCAUCCUUCAUGGCAGUUGCUUUUAAUUCAAUGUGGAACACACCCCUCACCCUACGAGACUGUGGAACAGACUGUUCAAAGUAUUUCCCUGCUGAACUGACCACUUGAAAAAAACAUUGAGGGAGUCUUGAUCCUAACAGCUGGUCUUACAACCGUGUUCAUUUUUGUCAAUCAAGACUUAAAUGAAGGAGAGGGUCCUGUGAGAUGCAUAAAACCAUCUAAGAUAUGGUUAAUCAGACUUUGAAACCCACAUCAUUAAGAAGGAUACAGAAUGACUGAGUCUCUAACAUUGCACACUGGUAUGCCUGUGAAGAGGCAUUACCAAAGUUAAUUAUGUCUAGUGCAAAUGCUGGGAGGUCUGACUGAGCAAAGCAGCUGACCCCCCCAAAGCAAAAGGGAAGAAACCAACAGGAAAGAUGAUUGAAGAAAGGAAGAAGACAGAAUCCAAGAAAUAUCAGUGAGAGUCAGUUUCAGGCAGAAGCUCCCAAGUUGCAGAGUCAAAAUGAGAUUUCCUUUGGGGAAGGAUCUGCUUCCAGGAUUUGCUUCUCCCUUGUUCCCUGGGUAGACACUGAAUUCUUGAAACCCCCCCCAUCAGUGUUGCAGGUAGGUAGAGCCCACUUGGGGAUAGCCGCUUGUAUUGCCUUCUCAAGUGUGGAGGACUGACUUGGCUGGUCCUUUGCCCUUUCUUCUUUGUUGCCCACCUUUCUAGACUGAGACAGUAAGAGCUUCUGGCUCAACAGAUUUUUGAGAGAAAUAAGGAAGGCAUUUCUAUCUCCACCCACUUUGCUGUAGUGUGGAAAGUUUCCUCUUGAGGGGUUUGUAUGUGCACCUCACUGUCUCCAACUCCAAAUCAGUACUGCUUUGUGCUGUAGGCUCUCAUACUGCUCUUCCUCUCUCCCCUCUCUGCACAAAAGAGCUGAGAUACUAUGACUGUGGAAACCAUGUAGGCGGACCCAGACACUCUUUUCUCUCAGCCAGGGAAAUCUGAUUUACUAGUUUGCGCAUCGCUGGAUUUUGCAAUUCCCCUGAUACUUUGAUUUGCCUGUGUGAGUACAAUGAAGCAGGGUGCCAGGGCAAGAACGUUCACUGAUCAAAGGAGAUGUUGCUGACCCCUCCCUGUAGCUAUGCCAAUGGCACAGAGAAUGAUUUUAAUGUGAGGUUUUUUAGUAGGAGCUUAAUUGUAGGCUCUGCCUUCUCACUUCAUGCCACAUGCUGCAGCAGCAGCUUCUCCCUCAGACUGCCCACUGCCAGACCUCCCAUCUCCAUCUGUGUCAUAACUGAGGCAGACAGGCUGUUGUGGGUGUCCCCUGGCUGUAACCACAGAAAUCAAACCUCCAACGAGCAAUGGGAUUCUAAGAAGGCUUUUGCAGCCUCAAAGGUCCAGGCCCCUUUUCCCCAGUCCUUCUUUCAUACCAAGAAAAUUCAGCUAGAACUAUGUUGGACUCAAUACUACCCAGGUGGAGCCAGUGGCUCUUCUCUCCCUCCUCAUUCCCCCAAAAUUGCUGCAUGAACUUUCAGCCCUUACAGUGCCAUGAGCCCUCAGUGGAAGACCUUGAGGAGGGCCUUCUAAGAUUCCAGACAAUGAGACUCUAUUCUUGAAUCUUGAGCUUUCACAAGUAAGAUUCCCUGACACAAAUUGGGUUAUGGAAGAGGAGGCGUUUGUUUGGGUUUUUUUUUCUUCCAGAUCAUGCUGAAUCCUUUGAGCCAGAAUAUUAGCUGUCUUUGGGGUGGAAGCCCAGACAGAUUAUAGCUCCUUGGAAAUAAAUGGUCAUUCAGGAGACAUUCUGGUCCCCUGUAGUUCUUCAUUGAAGUGUUAUGUGGAAUGUUUAUUUGAUCUGGCCCCUCUUACCUUGCUGCCCCAAGGUUCACGUAGAUACAUCGAUAAAGCUUGCAAGUCUCCAAAUGUACUACUGUGAGCAGAUCUUCAAAUUUCAGAUUAAGUGAAGUUGGGCCGCCUCAUCCUCUGCAUAGGAGACCUCAGAGGAAUCUGUGAAACCUGCUUCUCUUGUGUUCCAAACACUGCUGCUUUUAUAUGACCAACUCCCACGCCCCCACCACAACCUGCCCUGGCACUUCUGGUUCAAUUUCUGUAACUAUAAAGUAUAUCUGUAAAGAGAAUUUAUGAAAAAUAACGGAUUUAUUUAAUCAGUUACUCCUUCUCUGGGUUUUUAGAAAAGAGUUGAGCCCAAACUGUCAAAAUGCCAAGAUAUACAGUAUUGCAUGUUUGAAAUUUCUACAGAUUGAAGCAAAUUGUUAACUUAAAUUUAAGUGUUUUGGAGGGCUCAGAGAAAGGCGGCGGGAGAUAUAUUCAGUGUAGCUUGUCACCCUUUUAAGGUUUUUUGGGGAAAGCCUGUUCUAUACAUAAUUAAAAUCAGUAUGUAGCAGCUCUUUAUAAGAGAAUUUCUAUAACCAAAUUCAAUUUAUUAUGGUGCCAGAUCAGCUGAGAAAUAAGUAAGUGUCUGGCAUUACUUGAAGCGUAUUACUGAACGUCACAGGCAAACGAUUCUGAAGAACAAGGUUUAUUUUUUGAGUUUCAGACCCCAAAACUAGUUUUGGAAAUUCCUAUAGGGGAUUAACAUUAGCCUUUACCAGUAGUGGAACAGCAUCUCCUCCGCCCCACCUCCCCAAUGAUCAUCUUCUGGCAAUUGGAAUCAACUAAUCAGAUGCUUGUGCCACCUUCCACUUAGUUUCUUAAAUCAGUUCACCAUGAAACAUUUUUAACUAAUGCCUAGAUUUUUCAUUAAAUUAACCAGCAUACCUAAAUUGCCUAACAGUCUUAACGCAGCCCCCAGGCUACAGCUUCAUGGCAGUUGUAAUUUCCUUAUUAUGUUGGAAUGCAUUUCAGUUGAAGUAUAUUGUCUAAAAAUAAUUGUUUAGAUAGUGCUGCUUAAAUACAUACUUAUGUAGUGAGACAUUCAGAGGAUUUACUUAAAUUGGGCCCUUUCAGAUUAAAAAAUCAUUCAUGUGGCUUUUCCUUUGCCAAGAAUAGCUAUCAAACUGCUUAUUGCCUACAUCUUGAUUUCUGCUGUAGUCAGUCUGUAAAAUACACAAAUUUAUAAUUUAGUGUUUUUUAGAAAAUUGAUAAAAUGUUUGUUAAAAUAUGAGACAGCAGUAACUGAUUGAAAAUAAAUUUAUUUAAACUGAUUUCUUUAAUCCACAAACGCAAUUGUGUGGUGAUGCCAUAUAAAGCUCAGUGUAGUAAAUCAAAAGUAAAGAUGUGUUUAACUUUUCAAAGUAAGACAGCUUUGUUAUGCAUAUUGAAUAGCUUAUUUACUAUAGGUACAUUUAUUUUGACAUUUUUGCAUGCAGAGAUUUAAAAUCCAAUUGUAGAAGUUACUUAAGAGCUUCAGGACUAAACAUCUUUAAAUCCAAGAAAAGGGCAACAUAUGUGAUCUUAAACACUGGUGGUGUAAGUGCUGAAUGAGGACCUAAGUAUGUGACUGUGUCUCAUUGAUCUAAAGUUAAGCACAGGCUUAAGUGCCCUUCCUGAGUAGGCAUCCUUCUCUGAAUUGAGAUAUUAAAUAAAGUUAUUUGGUGAAGGAUAAUCUAAAUUACUCUGCACAUCUACUGAGAAUUGUUUUAAUAGUAAAGUCUCUAAAGACAUGAUGUCAAGUUUUAAAAAGCUUUAAAAAAAUUACUUAGCUCUGUUACAACCCCUUGGAAACUUAAAACUAUCCAUAUUUAAAAUUUAUUUCCAUUCAUGAAAGUAAAUUUUUUUGUUAACACUUUUAAAAAUAAUAUAGUUUUUUGUUGGUAUUUUGAUACUUCUGAUGUAUGCACCAGCAUUGUGUAAUGUACUCUUUGGUACUCUGAAACCUGCAGCUUGUCUCCUGGUGUGUUUUAGA
This is an RNA transcript of Gopherus evgoodei (Goodes thornscrub tortoise), 7704 nucleotides long. It is a transcript of the gene named TSC22 domain family member 1, with no coding region annotated. Lineage: Eukaryota; Metazoa; Chordata; Testudines; Testudinidae. The transcript is spliced from 6 exons. The record is from RefSeq and is a predicted model, not a curated record.